AUAACCGGCGAUACCCGAAUGGGGAAACCCAGUGUGUUUCGACACACUAUCAUGUCAUGAAUACAUAGUGGCAUGAGGCGAACCGGGGGAACUGAAACAUCUAAGUACCCCGAGGAAAAGAAAUCAACCGAGAUUCCCCCAGUAGCGGCGAGCGAACGGGGAGCAGCCCAGAGUCAACAUCAAUAUUUACCGCAGGAGAAGGGUCUGGAAAGGCCAGCAAUAAAGGGUGAUAGCCCCGUAUCUGAAACGGUAAGUGUUGUGAACUCGAAGAGUAGGGCGGGACACGUGUUAUCCUGUCUGAAUAUGGGGGGACCAUCCUCCAAGGCUAAAUACUCCUGACUGACCGAUAGUGAACCAGNACCGUGAGGGAAAGGCGAAAAGAACCCCGGCGAGGGGAGUGAAAUAGAACCUGAAACCGUGUACGUACAAGCAGUGGGAGCACCCGAAAGGGUGUGACUGCGUACCUUUUGUAUAAUGGGUCAGCGACUUAUAUUCUGUAGCAAGGUUAACCGCAUAGGGGAGCCGUAGGAAAACCGAGUCUUAACUGGGCGUUAAGUUGCAGGGUAUAGACCCGAAACCCGGUGAUCUAGCCAUGGGCAGGUUAAAGGUUGGGUAACACUAACUGGAGGACCGAACCGACUAAUGUUGAAAAAUUAGCGGAUGACUUGUGGCUGGGGGUGAAAGGCCAAUCAAACCGGGAGAUAGCUGGUUCUCCCCGAAAGCUAUUUAGGUAGCGCCUCGUGAAUUCAUCUUCGGGGGUAGAGCACUGUUUCGGCUAGGGGGUCAUCCCGACUUACCAACCCGAUGCAAACUACGAAUACCGAAGAAUGUUAUCACGGGAGACACACGGCGGGUGCUAACGUCCGUCGUGAAGAGGGAAACAACCCAGACCGCCAGCUAAGGUCCCGAAGUCAUGGUUAAGUGGGAAACGAAGUGGGAAGGCUUAGACAGCCAGGAUGUUGGCUUAGAAGCAGCCAUCAUUUAAAGAAAGCGUAAUAGCUCACUGGUCGAGUCGGCCGGCGCGGAAGAUGUAACGGGGCUAAACCAUGCACCGAAGCUGCGGCAGCGACAUUUAGAUGUUGUUGGGUAGGGGAGCGUUCUGUAAGCCGUUGAAGGUGGCCUGUGAGGGUUGCUGGAGGUAUCAGAAGUGCGAAUGCUGACAUAAGUAACGAUAAAGCGGGUGAAAAACCCGCUCGCCGAAAGACCAAGGUUUCCUGUCCAACGUUAAUCGGGGCAGGGUAAGUCGACCCCUAAGGCGAGGCUGAAAAGCGUAGUCGAUGGGAAACGGGUUAAUAUUCCCGUACUAAAGGUUACUGCGAAGGGGGGACGGAGAAGGCUAGGCUAUCCGGGCGACGGUUGUCCCGGUUUAAGCGAGUAGGUGGGUAGUGUAGGCAAAUCCGCACUGCUACAACACUGAGACGUGAUGACGAGCCACCAAGGUGGUGAAGUAGUUGAUGCCCAGCUUCCAGGAAAAGCCUCUAAGCGAUAGGUAAUCAUUAAUCGUACCCCAAACCGACACAGGUGGUUAGGUAGAGAAUACUCAGGCGCUUGAGAGAACUCGGGUGAAGGAACUAGGCAAAAUGGUGCCGUAACUUCGGGAGAAGGCACGCUGGCAUUAGGUGAAGGGUCUAGCAUCCGGAGCUGAAGCCAGUCGAAGAUACCAGCUGGCUGCAACUGUUUAUUAAAAACACAGCACUGUGCAAACACGAAAGUGGAUGUAUACGGUGUGACGCCUGCCCGGUGCUGGAAGGUUAAUUGAUGGGGUAAGCCGUAAGGCAAAGCUCUUGAUCGAAGCCCCAGUAAACGGCGGCCGUAACAAUAACGGUCCUAAGGUAGCGAAAUUCCUUGUCGGGUAA
This 1856-nucleotide ribosomal RNA is filed under the name Nilaparvata lugens (brown planthopper). RNAcentral's name for it is "bacterial LSU rRNA". It matches the Rfam family "Bacterial large subunit ribosomal RNA", at positions 100 to 1979 of the family's 2925-position model. The record is from RNAcentral. Lineage: Eukaryota; Metazoa; Arthropoda; Insecta; Hemiptera; Delphacidae.